Molecule: ribosomal RNA, 472 nt
Filed under: uncultured Bacteroidota bacterium
Lineage: Bacteria; Pseudomonadati; Bacteroidota
Description: bacterial SSU rRNA
Rfam family: Bacterial small subunit ribosomal RNA
Source: RNAcentral
GACGAACGCUAGCGGCAGGCCUAAUACAUGCAAGUCGAACGAGAAUCCCUUCGGGGAGGAAAGUGGCGCACGGGUGCGUAACACGUAUGCAACUUACCCUUUAGAGGGGGAUAGCCUAGAGAAAUUUAGAUUAAUACCCCAUAUUAUCAUUGAUUCGCAUGUUUUGAUGAUGAAAGAAUUUCGCUAAAGGAUGGGCAUGCGUCCCAUUAGUUAGUUGGUGAGGUAACGGCUCACCAAGGCGACGAUGGGUAGCUGGUCUGAGAGGAUGAUCAGCCACACGGGCACUGAGACACGGGCCCGACUCCUACGGGAGGCAGCAGUAAGGAAUAUUGGGCAAUGGGGGCAACCCUGACCCAGCCAUGCCGCGUGCAGGAUGAAGGUCCUCUGGAUCGUAAACUGCUUUUAUCAGGGGCUAAAGUGGGACUAUACGUCCUUUUGCAGGUACCUGAAGAAUAAGCACCGGCUAACUACG